This 124-nucleotide ribosomal RNA is filed under the name Nigrograna mackinnonii. Its description in RNAcentral is "partial large subunit ribosomal RNA". It matches the Rfam family "Eukaryotic large subunit ribosomal RNA", at positions 99 to 222 of the family's 3401-position model. The record is from RNAcentral. Lineage: Eukaryota; Fungi; Ascomycota; Dothideomycetes; Pleosporales; Nigrogranaceae.
CGGCAACAGCUCAAAUUUGAAAUCUGGCUCUUUUAGGGUCCGAGUUGUAAUUUGUAGAGGGCGCUUUGGUGUUGGCUGCGGUCUAAGUUCCUUGGAACAGGACGUCACAGAGGGUGAGGAUCCC